Molecule: ribosomal RNA, 417 nt
Filed under: Pseudomonas sp. enrichment culture clone TTGE_FP_77
Lineage: Bacteria; Pseudomonadati; Pseudomonadota; Gammaproteobacteria; Pseudomonadales; Pseudomonadaceae
Description: bacterial SSU rRNA
Rfam family: Bacterial small subunit ribosomal RNA
Source: RNAcentral
UGGUCUUGACAUCCUGCGAACUUGGUAGAGAUACCUUGGUGCCUUCGGGAGCGCAGUGACAGGUGCUGCAUGGCCGUCGUCAGCUCGUGUCGUGAGAUGUUGGGUUAAGUCCCGUAACGAGCGCAACCCUUGUCCUUAGUUGCCAGCGGUCCGGCCGGGAACUCUAGGGAGACUGCCGGUGACAAACCGGAGGAAGGUGGGGAUGACGUCAGGUCAUCAUGGCCCUUACGGCCAGGGCUACACACGUGCUACAAUGGGGCGCACAGAGGGCAGCAAGCGCGCGAGUGCAAGCGAAUCCCUUAAAACGCCUCGUAGUCCGGAUCGGAGUCUGCAACUCGACUCCGUGAAGUCGGAAUCGCUAGUAAUCGCAGAUCAGAAUGCUGCGGUGAAUACGUUCCCGGGUCUUGUACACACCGA